Peromyscus leucopus (white-footed mouse) is the source of this 1154-nucleotide long non-coding RNA. RefSeq lists it as uncharacterized. Lineage: Eukaryota; Metazoa; Chordata; Mammalia; Rodentia; Cricetidae. The record is from RefSeq and is a predicted model, not a curated record. The transcript has 7 exons.
AGGAGGAAAUAAAUAAAUAAAACAAUAACCUCCGCGCCAAUAAGAGCGAGGGAGAGAGAAAGACGCGGCCAGAGAGCCACGGGUGCCAGUCCGCUCGCCUGUGACAGGCUCUCGGAGCGCGCGUGUGUGUGCGUUGAGUGUGUAUUCGCUGGGACUGGAGCUGGAAAGUUCAAACUAAACGUGUUGCUCUCCCCGGUGGCCGAGGCUCGCCACGGAGGCUCUGCCCAACUUCUCUGGGCCAAGUGACUGGCAGUGCCCGGCGCCCUUGGCGCGUCGCAGGCGGCUCGGCCCCGCGCCCGGGCGCAGCGGCGGAGGCGGCUCCGGUCACCCCCGGAAGGGAGCCCGCGGCCAGGGCUGGACGCUCGCCCCGCCACAUCGCAGACUCACGGGGUCCUGAGCUUGGAGCCCGACAACCGGAGAAAGAAUUGAAGACAGCAAGCAUAAGAACUAAAGAAAAAAGAUAAAAAUAACAAGUGGAUAUUCAUCUCCUGUGACAUUUAUUCUGGAUGAAAAAUUGAAACAACUCACAGAGGUAAAUUGCUACCGGAAGCCUGUCUUCCUUUAAAGAGGCCACAACUUCAAACUCCUGCGGUGGAUAUAGAUUUUGCUCAAGAAAACAAUAGGAGUAGGAGGUGUAGGGACUGCCUGCUACACUCAGUGGACCUGCCUUUGACCUGCAUCUGCAUCUGGGUGAAAAUCUGAUACCUAUAAAGAAUACCCUAGGCUGAGCGACCGGGUGGCCACCAUUUUCCACCUGUGACGGGCCAGCAGACUGAGGCAAAACACGCUGAGUUUGCUGGCAGACGGUCUACACUGGAACUGAGCAAGAAUCUCCAGGGAAGGCCUUGCAGAGGUAGAAAGAUGACUCUGCUGAGAUGGGUUCUUAAUUAAUGCACUGAGAGCCUGUGAGUCCCACCUCUGAACAGGAAUGAUUGACGUCCAAGGAUACAUAAAUUACACUAAUUGAGCUCUGCCUCUAUGUAGGCUUUGCACAGCCAACUCAUCAGAGAAGCUAGGUGAGUAGACCAGCAUUAAAAGUUACUCAAUAUGUUCUAUGCUUUCCCAGAGGAUGGAGAAGGAACUUCCCAGGCCCUUGCACAUUUAUUAACACAGAAGGCAGUUCUUUGCAUCGGUUUUAAGAUGUAGGUUUUGUG